AGACCAGGUGGAGGAAAUUGAAUCAUGGAUGUGGUUUCUCCCAUGCUGGUCUCGUGAUAAUGAGUGAAUUAUCAUGAGAUCUGAUGGUUUUAUAAGGGGCUCUUCUCCCUUCGUUCAACACUUCUCCUUCCUGCCGCCUUGUGAAGAAGACGCCUUGCUUCCCCUUGGCCUUACACCAUGAUUGUAAGUUCCCUGAGGCCUCCCCAGUCAUGCUGAACUUUAACAAGACCUUUCAAAAAAAUUUAUCUGAGCUACCUCCUCUCUCUGAAUGGCUUUUUCCCACUUGAGCCUAGCAAUCUUUCCUUAAGUAAAAAAAGAAAGCUGAGAUAUUCAAAAGAGUCCCCAAAGUUAGUGUCUCACCCAGCCUGUUGUUUGUUAGCCAGUUUCCUUCUGGAGGAGGAAGUUAGUUUAAACAUGGCCUACUUUCCUCCCUUCUCCCUUUCAUUGCAGUCCAUAGUUAUUAAAUUAAAUGUGAACUCAGCUGUUUUACUGAAGUGCUUUUGUGGUGUUUAUGAAUAGAAGGGAUUAGCAUUUAUUGGUAAAUCGUUAUGCCCCAAGAACUGUGUUAGGUAGUCCUCAAGCUUUAACGUGCACAGAAUCAUGGAGAGAUCUGGUAACGUGCAAGCUGUGGCUCAGCUGGCUGGGGUGCAACCUGGGUGUCGUUGUUUUGCGGGAGGAUGGGCUCACAGGGCCUGCCCAGGGUCACUGGUCUCAGUCAGCCUCCACUCACAGGUAAGAACUCUGAGACUGGUGAGGGAAAUCACUUUGGCAUAGCUUCACAGCCAGUCGGUAUUUACACCCAGGGCUUCAGGCCACGCGCAAAGCAGCAGCAGGCGUGCCCCGGAUUAAUUAUCAUCUCCUCCUGCCACAACAGCCGUUUAUUUAGAUUUUUUUGUUUAGGACACUGCUGUGGGUUGAACUGUGUCUCCCUAAAAGGUAGGUUGAUGUCUUAACCCCUGGUACUUGUGAACAUGACCUUAUUUGGAAAUAGGGUCUUUUCAGAUAUAAUCGAGUGAAGAUGAGGCCAUACUUGAGUAGGGGGGCCCUUAAUCCAACAUGACAGGUAUCCUGUAAGAAGAGAAAAGGAGACAUGGACACACAUACAGAGGAGAAUGCCGCAUAGCAGAGAUGGGAGCGGUGUGGCUCCAAGUCAUGUCAAGCAUUGCCAGCCACUACCAGAGGCCAGAACGGCCAAGAAGGCGCCUCCCCUGGAACCUGCAGAGAGACCGUGACCCUCUCGGCACCUUGAUUGAGGAUUUCUAGCCUCCAUAACUGCGAGAUAAUACAUCUCUGUUGUUUUAAGCUUCCAAGUUUGACGUGAUUUGUGAUAGCAGCCCUAGGAAAUGGAUAAAAAUACUGAGUAUACUGCCUUGGUUUUCCGUGUUGCUGACUGUGUCUGUCUGCCCUCUAGACUGUCAUCAGGCAAACUCAGUGACUGCUAAAAGCGCAUCUGACCCACACAAGCCCUCAGCCCACCUUGCUGUUUACUUGGCUUUCAGCAGUAGGAGAAAAAAUGAUGUUUAUAUUAUAAAAGUAAAUCAGCUGUAUUGUACUUUACAGCAGAGAAACCCUUUGUUACUCAUAUUUUCAAAUACUUUUUAAGAGAUGUUUAAAGCAUGGAAAGUAUUUUUAGCAUUUAAAGUAUUUGCAUUUUUAAUAAAAAAAUUUCUCCACAGAAAAAUUGUUGUAUAUGUGUGAUUAAUUAAUUGCCUGAUAUUUGCUUGGGAGCUAUACUGCCAAGCAAACGUUUAUCAUCUUCUGAAAAAUCUCGUGACAUUUAAAAAAGAAAAACCUCUUGGGGUUGCCUUCUAUUUG
Molecule: long non-coding RNA, 1815 nt
Filed under: Homo sapiens (human)
Lineage: Eukaryota; Metazoa; Chordata; Mammalia; Primates; Hominidae
Description: HSALNT0375113
Source: RNAcentral